Molecule: long non-coding RNA, 674 nt
Organism: Acyrthosiphon pisum (pea aphid)
Lineage: Eukaryota; Metazoa; Arthropoda; Insecta; Hemiptera; Aphididae
Exons: 5
Source: RefSeq, a predicted model, not a curated record
GAAAUCUGUCCAAGAGCUUCAAUACUUGGUUCUUCAGAAUCACCUGGGCUGAGUGACUAUUGUCUACAUGGUUGAACGAUGGAAAAAUUUAAAAAUAUCUAUAAUGAAUUCAUCGUUGGACCGACAGAUGGUGUGAAUGUUUGCUUGGAAUCAUUUAAAGGCUUAAUUAACUACAUGGCUACCUUGAUUUAGUAAAUGUCUAUAAGACACCACCUCUCAAGAAAUCUGUCCAAGAGCUUCAAUACUUGCUUCUUCAGAAUCACCUGGGCUGAGUGACUAUUGUCUACAUGGUUGAACGAUGGAAAAAUUUAAAAAUAUCUAUAAUGAAUUCAUCAUUGGACCGACAGAUGGUGUGAAUGUUUGCUUGGAAUCAUUUAAAGGCUUAAUUAACUACAUGGCUACCUUGAUUUAGUAAAUGUCUAUAAGACACCACCUCUCAAGAAAUCUGUCCAAGAGCUUCAAUACUUGGUUUUUCAGAAUCACCUGGGCUGAGUGACUAUUGUCUACAUAGUUGAACGAUGGAAAAAUGUAAAUUAAAUUAUAAUAAUCAAUGAUAUAUUAAUACAUAGAAAUAUCAUUCUUAUGACAUCCGUUGAUUAUUUAAAAACAGUUUUUUUCCUAAAAUAUUCAGUAUUUAUAAUUAAGAUAUGAAAAUGCACCUUAAGAUUCACUAU